RNAcentral lists this long non-coding RNA (232 nucleotides) under Helianthus annuus (common sunflower). RNAcentral's name for it is "sRNA HanXRQr2_Chr01g0014501". The record is from RNAcentral. Lineage: Eukaryota; Viridiplantae; Streptophyta; Magnoliopsida; Asterales; Asteraceae.
UUUUCCCAUGUUUUGCAUUGACCCCAGUUUGCCAGCUGGGAGUAGGCUACUAGAGUGUGACCAUCUUGACUUAGGUCAAUGCCGAAAAACGAGUCGUGUGUGUACCAAAUGACGAAAACGCCCACAGUUGCUAUGCCAACGUAGAGUCCAAUGACCUGCAUAUAGCGAAAUAAAAUCCAUGCACUAAUCAAUGAAUCGUCGCUUCUGCGAGGAGCUUUUUUCAUGAUGUAUU